AGAAUUUUUCUCAAUGGGGGAAACCCUGAAGGAGCGACGCCGCGUGGGGGAUGAAUGGCUUCGGCCCGUAAACCCCUGUCAUUCGGGAUCAAUGCUCAUUACUCAAUACGUAAUGAGUUGAUAGUACCGAAAGAGGAAGGGACGGCUAACUCUGUGCCAGCAGCCCCGGUAAUACAGAGGUCCCAAGCGUUGUUAGGAUUCACUGGGCGUAAAGGGUGCGUAGGCGUUCGGGUAAGUCUGAUGUGAAAGCUCGGAGCUCAACUCCGAAAUGGCAUCGGAUACUACUCGGCUCGAGGAAUGGAGGGGAGACUGGAAUUCUCGGUGUAGCAGUGAAAUGCGUAGAUAUCGAGAGGAACACCAGUGGCGAAGGCGAGUCUCUGGACAUUUCCUGACGCUGAGGCACGAAAGCCAGGGGAGCAAAC
Molecule: ribosomal RNA, 422 nt
Filed under: uncultured bacterium
Lineage: Bacteria
Description: bacterial SSU rRNA
Rfam family: Bacterial small subunit ribosomal RNA
Source: RNAcentral